This 118-nucleotide ribosomal RNA is filed under the name Escherichia coli. RNAcentral describes it as "partial 23S ribosomal RNA". The stretch from base 1 to 101 matches the Rfam family "Bacterial large subunit ribosomal RNA", at positions 2825 to 2925 of the family's 2925-position model. The record is from RNAcentral. Lineage: Bacteria; Pseudomonadati; Pseudomonadota; Gammaproteobacteria; Enterobacterales; Enterobacteriaceae.
UCCUGAAGGAACGUUGGAGACGACGACGUUGAUAGGCCGGGUGUGUAAGCGCAGCGAUGCGUUGAGCUAACCGGUACUAAUGAACCGUGAGGCUUAACCUUACAACGCCGAAGCUGUU